Molecule: ribosomal RNA, 584 nt
Filed under: uncultured bacterium
Lineage: Bacteria
Description: bacterial SSU rRNA
Rfam family: Bacterial small subunit ribosomal RNA
Source: RNAcentral
UCCUACGGGAGGCAGCAGUGGGGAAUAUUGGACAAUGGGGGAAACCCUGAUCCAGCGACGCCGCGUGGAGGACGAAGGUCUUCGGAUUGUAAACUCCUUUUCUCCAAGAAUAAGAAACCUAUAGAAAUAUAGGGAGUGAAUGUACUGGAGGAAUAAGCCACGGCUAACUUCGUGCCAGCAGCCGCGGUAAUACGAAGGUGGCAAGCGUUACUCGGAAUUACUAGGCGUAAAGCGCGGGUAGGUGGUUCUGUAAGUCAGUUGUGUAAGCUCCCGGCUCAACUGGGAGAGGUCAACUGAUACUGCAGGACUUGAGUGUGGGAGAGGAUACUGGAAUUCCCGGUGUAGCGGUGAAAUGCGCAGAGUUCGGGAGGAACACCAAAGGCGAAAGCAGGUAUCUGGACCACUACUGACACUGAGCCGCGAAAGCUAGGGGAGCAAACAGGAUUAGAUACCCUGGUAGUCCUAGCUGUAAACGAUGCACAUUAGACGUGAGGGGUAUUGACCCCCUUCGUGUCGCAGCAAACGCAUUAAAUGUGCCGCCUGGGGAGUACGGCCGCAAGGUUGAAACUCAAAUGAAUUGACGG